AUCGGCAGAACCGAUAAUCGGUCUAUCCCUAAUCCAUAUGUAUGAGUAAUUUCACAGUCAAGUGAAUGAGAAAAUGACAAAACCAAUAACACAGAUCUAAGUCCAGCAGGAUUUGACUUGGGAGUCAGGUUCUCAGCUCAAUUUGUUACAUAAUAAAAAAUAAAUGAAACUUGUCAAGUUGCUACCAAGUUCAUCUGUCCACAGAC
Pelobates cultripes (western spadefoot toad) is the source of this 206-nucleotide non-coding RNA. Lineage: Eukaryota; Metazoa; Chordata; Amphibia; Anura; Pelobatidae. The record is from the annotation of a GenBank genome assembly.